Molecule: non-coding RNA, 28 nt
Filed under: Homo sapiens (human)
Lineage: Eukaryota; Metazoa; Chordata; Mammalia; Primates; Hominidae
Source: RNAcentral
UAUACCCUAUGGGGAGGAUAUUCCCUGU